GACGAACGCUGGCGGCGUGCUUAACACAUGCAAGUCGAACGGAAAGGCCCUGCUUGCAGGGUACUCGAGUGGCGAACGGGUGAGUAACACGUGGGUGAUCUGCCCUGCACUUCGGGAUAAGCUUGGGAAACUGGGUCUAAUACCGGAUAGGAACCAUCUUUAAUGUGGUGGUUGGAAAGUUUUUUCGGUGUAGGAUGAGCUCGCGGCCUAUCAGCUUGUUGGUGGGGUAAUGGCCUACCAAGGCGGCGACGGGUAGCCGGCCUGAGAGGGUGUACGGCCACAUUGGGACGGAGAUACGGACCAGACUCCUACGGGAGGCAGCAGUGGGGAAUAUUGCACAAUGGGCGCAAGCCUGAUGCAGCGACGCCGCGUGGGGGAUGAAGGCCUUCGGGUUGUAAACUCCUUUCGCUAGGGACGAAGCUUUGUUGUGACGGUACCUAGAUAAGAAGCACCGGCUAACUACGUG
RNAcentral lists this ribosomal RNA (466 nucleotides) under uncultured bacterium. RNAcentral describes it as "partial 16S ribosomal RNA". It matches the Rfam family "Bacterial small subunit ribosomal RNA", at positions 28 to 507 of the family's 1533-position model. The record is from RNAcentral.